RNAcentral lists this ribosomal RNA (408 nucleotides) under uncultured eukaryote. RNAcentral describes it as "bacterial SSU rRNA". It matches the Rfam family "Eukaryotic small subunit ribosomal RNA", at positions 592 to 1000 of the family's 1831-position model. The record is from RNAcentral.
CAAUAGCGUAUAUUAAAGUUGUUGCGGUUAAAAAGCUCGUAGUUGGAAUUUCUGCUGAGGACGACCGGUCCGCCCUCCGGGUGAGCAUCUGGUUCGGCCUUGGGCAUCUUCUUGGUGAACGUAUCUGCACUUGACUGUGUGGUGCGGUACCCAGGACUUUUACUUGAGGAAAUUAGAGUGUUUCAAGCAGGCAUGCGCCUUGAAUACAUUAGCAUGGAAUAAUAAGAUAGGACCUCGGUUCUAUUUUGUUGGUUUCCGGAACUUGAGGUAAUGAUUUAAGAGGGGACAGACGGGGGCAUUCGUAUUACGGUGUUAGAGGUGAAAUUCUUGGAUCGCCGUAAGACGAACUACUGCGAAAGCAUUUGCCAAGAAUGUUUUCAUUAAUCAAGAACGAAAGUCAGAGGUUUC